This is a long non-coding RNA of Coregonus clupeaformis (lake whitefish), 150 nucleotides long. RefSeq lists it as uncharacterized. NCBI's taxonomy places the organism in Eukaryota, Metazoa, Chordata, Actinopteri, Salmoniformes, Salmonidae. The transcript is spliced from 3 exons. The record is from RefSeq and is a predicted model, not a curated record.
CCAUCACACUUCACAGCCUAUACCGUGGCCAUCGGAUGGGGACUGCCUGCGGUUGUGGUGGCCCUCACCUUAGGAAUUAGUUACAGAGUGGAUGAUCCACUGGGUUACAGGCAGGAGGAAUUUUGCUGGCUUGCUGCCCUCGAUCCAAAG